GACGAACGCUGGCGGCGUGCUUAACACAUGCAAGUCGAACGGAAAGGCCCUGCUUUUGUGGGGUGCUCGAGUGGCGAACGGGUGAGUAACACGUGAGUAACCUGCCCUUGACUUUGGGAUAACUUCAGGAAACUGGGGCUAAUACCGGAUAGGAGCUCCUGCUGCAUGGUGGGGGUUGGAAAGUUUCGGCGGUUGGGGAUGGACUCGCGGCUUAUCAGCUUGUUGGUGGGGUAGUGGCUUACCAAGGCUUUGACGGGUAGCCGGCCUGAGAGGGUGACCGGCCACAUUGGGACUGAGAUACUGCCCAGACUCCUACGGGAGGCAGCAGUGGGGAAUAUUGCACAAUGGACGGAAGCCUGAUGCAGCAACGCCGCGUGCGGGAUGACGGCCUUCGGGUUGUAAACCGCUUUCGCCUGUGACGAAGCGUGAGUGACGGUAAUGGGUAAAGAAGCACCGGCUAACUACGUG
Molecule: ribosomal RNA, 468 nt
Filed under: uncultured bacterium
Lineage: Bacteria
Description: partial 16S ribosomal RNA
Rfam family: Bacterial small subunit ribosomal RNA
Source: RNAcentral